RNAcentral lists this long non-coding RNA (1459 nucleotides) under Mus musculus (house mouse). RNAcentral describes it as "long non-coding RNA chr11:72678938-72680397". The record is from RNAcentral. Lineage: Eukaryota; Metazoa; Chordata; Mammalia; Rodentia; Muridae.
GUGGGUAAGAGCACCCGACUGCUCUUCCGAAGGUCUGGAGUUCAAAUCCCAGCAACCACAUGGUGGCUCAAAACCAUCCGUAACAAGAUCUGACUCCCUCUUCUGGAGUGUCUGAAGACAGCUACAGUGUACUUACAUAUAAUAAAUAAAUCUUUAAAAAAAAAAAGAAAAAGAAAAUACUAUUCUAUGCCUUGGAAAAAAAUUGUGGAGUUUUUAGGAUUGAUUUAAAACCAGGUUUAAAACAAGCUAGGCAAGUAUGCUACUACUAAGUUACAACCCUAUCAUAGCAUUUUAAGAUGUAUAAUCACACCCUGUCUCGGGGAAAAAAAAGAUGUAUAAUUACAAAAGGAUCAUAUUUAUAAUUCAAAUAGGCAGUUUUGAUUAUAAUAGGUUUAUAUAAAAUAAUUUGAUUUUAAUUUUGUAUCUGCAGAAAGAAUGGAGGGAAGACAGAAACGGAGAAUUUAAAAGGAAAGUUGCCCGCUGUGUAAGAAAAAGCCAAGAAACUGCUUUUGAGUGAUGUUUAUUCAAUAGUUAGUAACUUCACUUAUUUCAGGGUAAGUUCAUUUUAAAACUGUGCAACUCUUUAACUUUUUUGCUCAAAUGCUAGCCUUUUUUUUUUGGAGACAAGGUUUCUCUGUGCAACCCUGGCUAUCCUGGAUCUCACUCUGUAGACCAGGCUGGCCUCGAACUCAGAAAUCCGCCUGCCUCUGCCUCCCAAGUGCUGGAAUCAAAGGUGUGCGCCAUCAUGCCCGGCACUAAUUUUUGUAGAUCAUUUGAUUUUGCUAUUUGAUUUGUAUAUAUUGGCUCAAUUUUAUUCUUCCAGUUCCGUAUACUGUAGUUUGCUGCUUCUCAGAGCUUUUUUUUUAUCUUUUGGAGCACUUAAGUAUUUUUACGUAGAUGUUCUGAAUUAAAUAGUUUCAUGUUAAUAGUCUCCUUAUUUUCACUGGUAGUAAUGAAAGAUUUUUAACUUUUUAUUUUUUAAAUGCUGCUGGCAAUUAAACCCAGUUCCUGGAAAAGGGUACCCUAUCACUGAGCCUGUAUUGAUGGUAAAAUUUCUGGUAACGAAGAUGUCAGUUGGUUCUUCAUUUCACCCUUUCUAUUUAUCUUCAUUUACCUUUUUAAAUGGGAACUGAAGUAUCUUGGACCCUCUUAUGCUGAAUAUUUUGUAUGGUGAGCCCGCCCCAUAGCCCCCCCCCCCCCCCCCAAAAAAAAAAUAAAGAUCUGAAAGCUAGUAAUGAGCCCUUGCCUAGUGUUCAGGAAGUCCUGAGGUCAGUCCUAUUCUAGCUUUUUUGUUGCUGUGAUAAAAUAACCAACUUGUUGAGUUCUUAAUUAGGGUUUCUAUUGCUGUGAUAGCGAACUUUGAUCAAAACACAACUUGAGGGUUGGGGAUUUAGCUCAGUGGUAGAGCGCUUGCCUAAAGGCCCUGGGUUCGGUCCUCAGCUCUGGGAAAAAAAAAAGG